UCACUUUCAACAACGGAUCUCUUGGCUCUCGCAUCGAUGAAGAACGCAGCGAAAUGCGAUAGUAGUGUGAAUUGCAGAAGUAUGUGAAUCAUCGAAUCUUUGAACGCAAAUUGCACUCUCUGGUAUUCCGGGGAGUAUGCCUGUUUGAGGGUCGCUU
Molecule: ribosomal RNA, 157 nt
Filed under: Septoglomus xanthium
Lineage: Eukaryota; Fungi; Glomeromycota; Glomeromycetes; Glomerales; Glomeraceae
Description: 5.8S ribosomal RNA
Rfam family: 5.8S ribosomal RNA
About the family: 5.8S ribosomal RNA (5.8S rRNA) is a component of the large subunit of the eukaryotic ribosome. It is transcribed by RNA polymerase I as part of the 45S precursor that also contains 18S and 28S rRNA. Functionally, it is thought that 5.8S rRNA may be involved in ribosome translocation.
Source: RNAcentral